GCAUGAAAACAAUUACAUAAUCAUCCACGGGUUGUAUAUGUUGCAAACAAUUAUCAAAUGCUAAGCUACAGUCUGUACACUUCUUUUCUAAAAUGUGUUUAAAGAAGUCACACAAUCUUCUAUGGAACAGAGGAAAGAUUUCUAUUUGUAAUACAACAUAAAUGUUUGCUUAAACAUAUGUUGCACAUCCUCGCAACCGGCAACGAAGCAUGCCAUUGUACUGUCAAGGCAAGUACUAGUCAUUAGUACUAAAAAAAUUGUACAAGUAUAUAUUGCGACAUUCUACUGUUCCAUAUCAGCAAGAUAUUGAAGAUAAGAUUCCAAACGAUCGUUAGGAGCACUAGAACUCAGAGUUACUAGUCAUGGAGCUCCUUCAAAUCGGUGGCACUGACGGGGUGUUAGAGGAUGGUCGUGAGCCUGCAAAUCCAGUGAGGGAACUGAAACCAGCAGUAGCAGAGUAAUUUGCCAACCCAGGCUUGCGUAUACACGUUUGUUGGAAUGGAGCAGUGAAGUCUCGCUAGCAGUACCUCUCAUGUAGUAAUACAUGGACUUGCUGUUAAAUAUACAUGGACCUGCUGUUAAAUACACAUGGAACUGAUCGUUUUCUAACCUGAGAACUGCAGAAAAUUAGCAAAAGUGAGCCACCAAAUUCUAUAUAGAAGCGCAGAAAUUAAGACAUCAAAAGAUUAAACAAAGUAGCUGGAGUUUUUUUAACACAUCAGCAUUUGAAUUUCUAGUUGUUCUUGUCCUCGGAACAAAGUACCUUCAUAUUUAACCACCGCAAAUAAACUCUUAAAUACUUAUGGCAAGCGUAUUUGAACUGAUGUAUCCUUUUUCUAGCUAUUGAAUUGCUAACCACCACAAAUGAACUCUUAACUACUUAUGAGUUUUUAAAUGCAUAAUACAACGGGAAAUGGGUUUCAAUCAUAUGCUAGAAGAUGCCCCAUGCAAAAACUAGAAAUAUGAGUGAGAUAGAAAGAGUUGUACAAGAGUUGUUUCAACAAGAAUCUACUCAACCUACAAAGAGUACACCCACCGAUCCAUGUACCACUCGCUCCCUCAUGUCCCCAACUCCAUAAUAUGUACUAGCAGCUAACCUUAAUACUGCAGACUUGUUGAUCAACAUCUGCCCACAUUCCACUUAUUGAAUGAAGCCAUGAAUGUGUCCCUGAGAAUAAAACAGACCAUAUGAGAGGACGGUAACACACGAGAUUGAGUUCCGGUUCAGGUGUUUGUAAGUUAGUGAAACAUGUGACGAAGAACUGAACUCAAAAAACAAGAUUUUUGGAUAUGGAAGAAGGCGACAGACAUCGGGUGAACCUGCUACUCCUACUCCUGCGGACUGACCGCUCCGGUGUAGUGGAGCUGAUGGAGGCGUGGUUCACGAGCAGCGGCUUGGCGCACCGGGAUUUGGCCGCUAUAGGGGAUCCGCUACCCCUACUCCUGUGGACUGACGGCUCUGGUGAAGUGGAGAUGAUGGAGGCGGGGUUCAUGAGCAGCGGCUGGGCGCGCCAGGAUUUGGCUCUGUAAAGAUGAAGUGCAAAUCACAUUAAAGGUGAACUAAAUAUCUUCCUAGCAACCUCGUCCAAUUGCGUUACUCAUAACAUGAUCUAUAGAGACUUACAUCCCAAAUAAAAUACAUGCAGAGAUGGGCGGCCACCAGCUUGUUUAUAU
RNAcentral lists this long non-coding RNA (1674 nucleotides) under Triticum aestivum (bread wheat). RNAcentral describes it as "long non-coding RNA (TAES_LNC027184)". The record is from RNAcentral. Lineage: Eukaryota; Viridiplantae; Streptophyta; Magnoliopsida; Poales; Poaceae.